RNAcentral lists this ribosomal RNA (429 nucleotides) under Actinomycetes bacterium. Its description in RNAcentral is "Actinobacteria bacterium partial 16S ribosomal RNA". It matches the Rfam family "Bacterial small subunit ribosomal RNA", at positions 355 to 776 of the family's 1533-position model. Lineage: Bacteria; Bacillati; Actinomycetota; Actinomycetes. The record is from RNAcentral.
UAGGGAAUCUUCCGCAAUGGGCGAAAGCCUGACGGAGCAACGCCGCGUGAGUGAAGAAGGUCUUCGGAUCGUAAAACUCUGUUAUUCGGGAAGAACAAAUGUGUAAGUAACUAUGCACGUCUUGACGGUACCUAAUCAGAAAGCCACGGCUAACUACGUGCCAGCAGCCGCGGUAAUACGUAGGUGGCAAGCGUUAUCCGGAAUUAUUGGGCGUAAAGCGCGCGUAGGCGGUUUUUUAAGUCUGAUGUGAAAGCCCACGGCUCAACCGUGGAGGGUCAUUGGAAACUGGAAAACUUGAGUGCAGAAGAGGAAAGUGGAAUUCCAUGUGUAGCGGUGAAAUGCGCAGAGAUAUGGAGGAACACCAGUGGAGAAGGCGACUUUCUGGUCUGUAACUGACGCUGAUGUGCGAAAGCGUGGGGAUCAAACAGG